RNAcentral lists this ribosomal RNA (497 nucleotides) under uncultured bacterium. Its description in RNAcentral is "partial 16S ribosomal RNA". It matches the Rfam family "Bacterial small subunit ribosomal RNA", at positions 28 to 507 of the family's 1533-position model. The record is from RNAcentral.
GAUGAACGCUGGCGGCGUGCCUAAUACAUGCAAGUCGAGCGAACAGACGAGGAGCUUGCUCCUCUUACGUUAGCGGCGGACGGGUGAGUAACACGUGGAUAACCUACCUAUAAGACUGGGAUAACUUCGUGAAACCGGAUCUAAUACCGGAUAAUAUAUUGAACCGCAUUGUUCAAUAGUUAAAGACGGUUUUUCUUUCACUUAUAGAUUGAUCCGCUCCGCUUUAUCUAGUUGGUAAGGUAACGGCUUACCAAGGCAACGAUGCGUAUCCGACCUGAGAGGGGGAACGGACACACUGGAACUGAGACACGGACCAGAAGCCUACGGGAGGAAGCAGUAGGGAAUAUACCGCAAUGGGCGAAAGCAUGACGGAGCAAAGCCGAGUGAGUGAUGAAGGUCUUCGGAUCGUAAAACUCUGUUAUUAGGGAAGAAAAAAUGUGUAAGUAACUAUGCACGUCUUGACGGUAACUAAUCAGAAAGCAACGGCUAACUACGUG